CUCCCUCCGCCUACAGUAGGAGGGCGUGUCUGUACAAMGAAGAGGACUGGAUUGAUUUAUGUGCAGCGCCGCCUCCUGCCAUCACAGAUGAUGCAGUUCGAGAUGGUCGGGGGUGCAGAUGAGGGAAUAAGGAGCGGCAUCUCAGUUUGCACAUCUGAUGUGUGAGCACUGAGGGGGUUCCCAGUGACACUGGCUAGCUGCUUGACCACCUUUGUCCAAUUCGUCCUGUUGUGGGUGUAGAACGUCUGGUGCUGCUGGAGCGUGACAGUUGGAGUAACCGUUCUAGAUGAAGCAUUGCUAAAAAUGCACAUUGCUUUUGCCGUUUCUCCUGAUGGAAAAAAUAAAAUUAAAUUAAAAUAA
Non-coding RNA from Poecilia reticulata (guppy), 360 nucleotides. NCBI's taxonomy places the organism in Eukaryota, Metazoa, Chordata, Actinopteri, Cyprinodontiformes, Poeciliidae. The record is from RefSeq and is a predicted model, not a curated record.